GAUGAACGCUGGCGGCGUGCCUAAUACAUGCAAGUCGAGCGAACAGACGAGGAGCUUGCUCCUCUGACGUUAGCGGCGGACGGGUGAGUAACACGUGAUAACCUACCUAUAAGACUGGGACAACUUCGGGAAACCGGAGCUAAUACCGGAUAAUAUAUUGAACCGCAUGGUUCAAUAGUGAAAGACGGUUUUGCUGUCACUUAUAGAUGGAUCCGCGCCGCAUUAGCUAGUUGGUAAGGUAACGGCUUACCAAGGCAACGAUGCGUAGCCGACCUGAGAGGGUGAUCGGCCACACUGGAACUGAGACACGGUCCAGACUCCUACGGGAGGCAGCAGUAGGGAAUCUUCCGCAAUGGGCGAAAGCCUGACGGAGCAACGCCGCGUGAGUGAUGAAGGUCUUCGGAUCGUAAAACUCUGUUAUUAGGGAAGAACAAAUGUGUAAGUAACUAUGCACGUCUUGACGGUACCUAAUCAGAAAGCCACGGCUAACUACGUG
Molecule: ribosomal RNA, 496 nt
Filed under: uncultured bacterium
Lineage: Bacteria
Description: partial 16S ribosomal RNA
Rfam family: Bacterial small subunit ribosomal RNA
Source: RNAcentral